GAUGAACGCUGGCGGCGUGCUUAACACAUGCAAGUCGAACGGAAAGGCCCAAGCUUGCUUGGGUACUCGAGUGGCGAACGGGUGAGUAACACGUGGGUGACCUGCCCUGCACUUCGGGAUAAGCCUGGGAAACUGGGGCUAAUACCGGAUAGGACGAUGGGUUGGAUGCCAGUGUGGAAAGUUUUUUCGCGGUGGGGUGAGCUCGCGGCCUAUCAGCUUUUUGGUGGGGGAAUGGCGUACCAAGGGGUCGACGGGGAGCCCGCCCGAGAGGGGGUACGGGCACAUUUGGGGAGUGAGACGGCGCAGACUCUUACGCGGGGCAGCAGUGUGGAAUAUUGUACACUGGGCGCAGGCCCGAUGCAGCGCCGCGGCGUGGGCGGUGACGGCCCUCUGGUUGUAAACUCCGCUCUCGCGUGAGGCAGCGUGUUUGUGACGGUACCGGGAGAAGGAGCACCGGCUAACUACGUG
Molecule: ribosomal RNA, 468 nt
Filed under: uncultured bacterium
Lineage: Bacteria
Description: partial 16S ribosomal RNA
Rfam family: Bacterial small subunit ribosomal RNA
Source: RNAcentral